RNAcentral lists this microRNA (21 nucleotides) under Bombyx mori (domestic silkworm). RNAcentral's name for it is "bmo-miR-305-3p". Its record names the gene bmo-miR-305-3p. The record is from miRBase by way of RNAcentral. Lineage: Eukaryota; Metazoa; Arthropoda; Insecta; Lepidoptera; Bombycidae.
GGCGCUUGUUGGAGUACACUU